CUAGACCUGAAAUCAGUCGAGGUUACCCGCUGAAUUUAAGCAUAUUACUAAGCGGAGGAAAAGAAAAUAACUAUGAUUCCCUCAGUAACGGCGAGUGAAGCGGGAAGGGCUCAAAGUGAAAAUCGCGGUUUCUUUUGAAACUGCGAAUUGUAGCCUCUAGAGGCGUUGCCAGUGGAGGAGCAGGUCUAAGUUUCUUGGAACAGAACUUCAGAGAGG
Molecule: ribosomal RNA, 216 nt
Filed under: Eimeria alabamensis
Lineage: Eukaryota; Apicomplexa; Conoidasida; Eucoccidiorida; Eimeriidae
Description: partial 28S rRNA
Rfam family: Eukaryotic large subunit ribosomal RNA
Source: RNAcentral